This 448-nucleotide ribosomal RNA is filed under the name uncultured bacterium. RNAcentral describes it as "bacterial SSU rRNA". It matches the Rfam family "Bacterial small subunit ribosomal RNA", at positions 29 to 523 of the family's 1533-position model. The record is from RNAcentral.
AACGAACGCUGGCGGCAGGCUUAACACAUGCAAGUCGAACGGACCCUUCGGGGUUAGUGGCAGACGGGUGAGUAACGCGUGGGAACCUACCUAUAAGUACGGAACAACACAGAGAAAUUUGUGCUAAUACCGUAUGUGCUCUUUUGAGUAAAGAUUUAUCGCUUAUAGAUGGGCCCGCGUUAGAUUAGCUAGUUGGUGAGGUAACGGCUCACCAAGGCGACGAUCUAUAGCUGGUCUGAGAGGAUGAUCAGCCACACUGGGACUGAGACACGGCCCAGACUCCUACGGGAGGCAGCAGUGAGGAAUAUUGGACAAUGGGGGCAACCCUGAUCCAGCCAUGCCGCGUGAGUGAUGACGGCCUUAGGGUUGUAAAGCUCUUUCAGUAGUGAAGAUAAUGACGGUAACUACAGAAGAAGCCCCGGCUAACUUCGUGCCAGCGCCGCGGUAA